UACAGAGGGGGCAAGCGUUGUUCGGAAUUACUGGGCGUAAAGGGCGCGUAGGCGGCCCGCUAAGUCGAACGUGUAAUCCCCGAGCUCAACUCGGGAACUGCGUCCGAUACUGGCGGGCUUGAAUCCGGGAGAGGGAUGCGGAAUUCCAGGUGUAGCGGUGAAAUGCGUAGAUAUCUGGAGGAACACCGGUGGCGAAGGCGGCAUCCUGGACCGGUAUUGACGCUGAGGCGCGAAAGUUAGGGGAGCAAACGGG
This 253-nucleotide ribosomal RNA is filed under the name uncultured bacterium. RNAcentral's name for it is "partial 16S ribosomal RNA". It matches the Rfam family "Bacterial small subunit ribosomal RNA", at positions 524 to 776 of the family's 1533-position model. The record is from RNAcentral.